Molecule: transfer RNA, 70 nt
Filed under: Xylocopa appendiculata
Lineage: Eukaryota; Metazoa; Arthropoda; Insecta; Hymenoptera; Apidae
Description: tRNA-Leu
Source: RNAcentral
AUUAUUUUAGCAAAAUUAGUGCAUUAAAUUUAGAAUUUAAAAUAUUAAUAAUAAAAUUAUUAAAAUAAUA